RNAcentral lists this ribosomal RNA (542 nucleotides) under Cercophora grandiuscula. RNAcentral describes it as "eukaryotic LSU rRNA". The stretch from base 173 to 326 matches the Rfam family "5.8S ribosomal RNA". Lineage: Eukaryota; Fungi; Ascomycota; Sordariomycetes; Sordariales; Lasiosphaeriaceae. The record is from RNAcentral.
GCGGAGGGAUCAUUACAGAGUUGCAAAACUCCCUAAACCAUCGCGAACCCACCCCUACACAGUUGCUUCGGCGGCGCCCGAAGGCCCUAGCGGCCGGAGUGCCCGCCGGGGACCCCCCAAACUCUUGUUUUUAACAAAUGGCCUCUCUGAGUACUGUACUUUAAUAAGUCAAAACUUUCAACAACGGAUCUCUUGGUUCUGGCAUCGAUGAAGAACGCAGCGAAAUGCGAUAAGUAAUGUGAAUUGCAGACUUCAGUGAAUCAUCGAAUCUUUGAACGCACAUUGCGCCCGCGAGUAUUCUCGCGGGCAUGCCUGUUCGAGCGUCAUUUCAACCAUCAAGCCCCGGGCUUGUGUUGGGGACCUGCGGCUGCCCGCAGGCCCUGAAAUCCAGUGGCGGGCUCGCUGUCGCACCGAGCGUAGUAGCAUACUUCUCGCUCCGGGAGCGCGGCGGGCGCCUGCCGUAAAACCCCCUACAUACCAAAGGUUGACCUCGGAUCAGGUAGGAAUACCCGCUGAACUUAAGCAUAUCAAUAAGCGGAGGA